RNAcentral lists this long non-coding RNA (1170 nucleotides) under Homo sapiens (human). Its description in RNAcentral is "novel transcript". Lineage: Eukaryota; Metazoa; Chordata; Mammalia; Primates; Hominidae. The record is from RNAcentral.
GGAAGGGAGUGGGAAGGUGAAGAUUGAGGAUCCUUUUAAGUAGUUUUUGCUCAGCUAGCAAAACAAGCUGGGACAUGCAAGACAGAUAAACACAGCUGUUUGGGGCUGUCACUUGGGGCUCAGGAGCCAAGGUGUCCUGCUGUAGUGAAAAGUGCACCGGAAUUAAAUAGCUAGGCUUCUAAGCCCUACCACAGAGAGUCAACAGACAAACUGCCCAGGGAAAAGUUAUGACCUCAGGCAAAGUGAAUUUCUACAGCUAAGGCAGAUCCUGAAGAAGCUCACAAAUAAAGGCUGCAUACUCACACAUUCCCUGAAGCUUGACAGUGCCAGCCACCAUACUGUGAGGGAGCUGAAGUAAGCCCACAUGAGGAAGAAUUGAGGUCCCAAGCCAACAGCUGCAGCUAAGAUCCAAGCUCUCAACCAGUACCAGUUCAUCCGUUAUAGAGAAAAUGUCAUGCCUGUGGGAUCUAGAAGACAUACUCCUUUGUUUUUAGUUCUGCUAGUACCCUAUGUGCCUUUACCAAAACCUUACUGAAUGGAUUUCAGAAAGUCUUUAAUUGUCAUCUCCUUCCCCUUUGUAUUCUACAAAGUUCCCAACAAUAUCAAUGAAUAAGAAGGAAGUCUUAAGGCUCCAGGAAUCCCCUCAGGGAGACUAGCUUUCAGAAUUUUAGGCACACUAAGAUAUGGAAGCUAAAAGAGGACUAAGAGGAUUCUGGGGAUAUUACAAGAUAUUGCAGACUAUCUUGUUUUCCUGGAAAAGGAUUUUACCUCAGUCGACUGAAUUACUUUUUUCACUGUGUCUUGCCACUCUUCGUGCAUGCAUCAAAGACCCUAAUAUGACUUCUGGUGGCCUGGGACUCCUUGGGAAAACAGAAAAGGGGCCACAAAUCCCAUUUUGGGAACAAUCUGUUUUACUCAUGGAACCCCUGGAAUUAGAGCACUUACAACAGUAUCUACCUUUAAGAAUAUAUUCAAAAAACUGUUACAUGGCUUCUGAGAAAACAACAAAUUAGCCAUUUAACCUGAAUAUUUUGAAGCUUAUGGAUGAAGAAUAUUUUCAUGAUGGAAACAACAUGAGGUAAAUUAGCAGCAGAGAUUCAUCUGGAAGUAUGAUAUAUUGUUUAAAAAAACUUUUUAAAGUCAUUUCUGUCCAAAUAUAAAACAUUAUGU